RNAcentral lists this ribosomal RNA (400 nucleotides) under uncultured bacterium. Its description in RNAcentral is "bacterial SSU rRNA". It matches the Rfam family "Bacterial small subunit ribosomal RNA", at positions 32 to 426 of the family's 1533-position model. The record is from RNAcentral.
AAUCAACGCUGGCGGCGUGCCUCAGACAUGCAAGUCGAACGAUUAAACUUUCCUUCGGGAAAGAUAUAAAGUGGCGCACGGGUGAGUAACACGUAGGUAAUGUACCUUUGGGUGGGGAAUAACCAUCGGAAACGAUGGCUAAUACCGCAUAAUGCAGCGGCAUCGCAAGAUGACAGUUGUUAAAGAUUUAUCGCCUAAAGAGCAGCCUGCGGCAGAUUAGGAGUUGGUAAGGUAAUGGCUUACCAAGCCUGCGAUCUGUAACCGACCUGAGAGGGUGGUCGGUCACACUGACACUGAAUAACGGGUCAGACUCCUACGGAGGCAGCAGUCGGGAAUUUUGGGCAAUGGGCGAAAGCCUGACCCAGCAACGCCGCGUGAAGGACGAAGUCUUUCGGGAUGU